GAAAUGCGAUAAGUAAUGUGAAUUGCAGAAUUCAGUGAAUCAUCGAAUCUUUGAACGCACAUUGCGCCCGCCAGCACUCUGGCGGGCAUGCCUGUUCGAGCGUCAUUUCAACCAUCAAGCCCCCCGGCUUGUGUUGGGGACCUGCGGCUGCCGCAGGCCCUGAAAAGCAGUGGCGGGCUCGCUGUCACACCGAGCGUAGUAGCAUACAUCUCGCUCUGGGCGUGCUGCGGGUUCCGGCCGUUAAACCACCUUCGUAACCCAAGGUUGACCUCGGAUCAGGUAGGAAGACCCGCUGAACUUAAGC
Molecule: unclassified non-coding RNA, 304 nt
Filed under: plant metagenome
Description: partial contains 5.8S ribosomal RNA, internal transcribed spacer 2, and large subunit ribosomal RNA
Rfam family: 5.8S ribosomal RNA (bases 1-105)
Source: RNAcentral